Molecule: long non-coding RNA, 3276 nt
Filed under: Medicago truncatula (barrel medic)
Lineage: Eukaryota; Viridiplantae; Streptophyta; Magnoliopsida; Fabales; Fabaceae
Description: lncRNA gene34140
Source: RNAcentral
CAAAGUAACAAGUAUUAUUCAGAUGAAUUAAAAUGAGUACACAACUAACAAACAAAAUUAUUGAGAACUACGGUUAGUUAUCACUAAAUAACCAAUUGUAACACACGACAUAUAGAAAACAAAAAAAUUACACAAUUAACAAACACUAUUGUUGAAAUUUGGAGUCUAACUCAUCAUUACAAAACUAACUUAUACGGUAAGGAUUAUCCCCACUUAUAAACACAUACUCAUAUCAUAUUUUGUCCGAUGUGAGACUCUUCAACAACUAGAGUCACAUGAUUUCAUAACAUUUUGGAGACAAACAAGGUUUAACCAAAACCUCAAGUGGAGUAACUUUGGUGCUAGUAAAUUCAAGGACUUCAGUCAAAUCAAUUGAUUCUGGAGAUAGAUUCAAGAUAUCAAAAGAAUGCAAGAAAUUAGCUAGAAUAUAAUGAAGCAUAUGCAAACCAAGGGACAUUCCAGCACACCUCCUUCUUCCACUUCCAAAUGGCAACAACUCAAAAUUUUGACCCCCAAGAUCAACAUCUUUGUUAGUGGUAAGAAACCUUUCAGGUUUAAAUUCUAAUGGAUCUGACCAAACCCUAGAGUCUCUAUGAAUCUUCCAUAGAUUUGGCAUCAAUCGAGUUCCCUUUUUGAUAUGGUAUCCACCUAUUGUGCAAUCUUCUGUGAAUUCGCGAGGUGACGAAAAUGGAGCUGGUGGAUAGAAUCUUAGUGUCUCUUUAAUUAUAGCAUCAAGAUAUACUAAUUUAUUAACAUCUGACUCUCUUACACAAUUUUCUUUUCCAAUUUGUGUGUUAAGUUCUUCUUUUGCUUUUUUCAGUACAUGAGGAUUUUUCAAUAGUAAAGACAUUGCCCAUGUAAGUGUUCCAGCGGUUGUGUCACUUCCUCCUAUGAUCAAUUCCUACAAAUAAAAGUUCAAAUUACAUAAGAAUAUCCCCAAUUAAUUAAACAACCUAAUUUUUUAACAAUAAUUAUACAAAAAGUAGCUUAUCAUAUGGAUUGGUUAGCAAUAAAAGUGUCAAAAAAAAGUUAUUUUAGGAGAAAAAAUUAUAAAUUUAAACUAAAUUAAAAUAUUCUAUCCCUCACCCACCAAUUUAUAUAAGCAUCUUAUGGAAAAAAUUCUCCCUAAAUAUAAGAAUUAUUUUAAAAUACAUUUUUUCCUAAAAAAAAGAAAUACAUUUUAGCGGUUGAUGACAUAAAUUUGUAUUGGUGUUACAAAAAAUUUAGAGAAAAAAAAAAAUCUCAUGAAAAAAGAAAUACAUAUAUCUAAUAACAUUGUUCAUUGUAUUGUAUGAUUUCUAUAUAUGAAAUUACUUAGUUAUCACAUCAUUUUUUCUAAAUAUAUGCAAACAAUUAUUAUUGUUUAUUUUUUAUUUUUGAACAGAUAAAAAAAAUGGGUUGAUGAGAAUUAAUACAAUGCAGGUGUUGUUUAAAUUGAAGUUUAAAAUCUCCACCAUCUAAAUUUAAUCUAAUUACUGCAAUUCAUUCUCACCAUUCUCACAUACAAAACCCAUUCUCAUGUGAUAUAUAUAUAUAUAUAUAUAUAUAUAUAUAUAUAUAUAUAUAUAUAUAUAUAUAUAUAUAUAUAUUUUCUCUCAAAAAAAAAAUAACUCAAAUAUUUAGACAUCCAUACAAAUAUUAAACAUUCAUUCAACACUUUUAUUAUUUUAUUUCUAUAUCUCCCUUCAUACCACAUUAUUUACUCAUCACCUUACUUUCUUUAUUUCUAUCUCUCUCACGAUGUUAAAUAGGUUACCGUGUACCCAAAUAACUUUCUAUACAGAAAAACCGACAUAAAUUUAUAAAAAGGAAAAUGUUAACGAGUGCUUCCACAACACAUUUAACAACCAUAAAUAGUAAAUUUUUAUGAAAAUUUGUGUAAUCAAUAAAAUUUAUAACAUUUAAUUUUUUUAAAAAUAUUUUUUAAAUUUGAGAAUCAGGGUGCCGAGACACUCGUUAACAAGACCUUGUAAAAAAUGGCCGAGGGAGUGAGUAUUAAAUACGUACCAUAGUUGUUGCUUUGAUUACGGUAUCUGCAUCAAACAUCUCAAUUGGUUUGUCAUUAAGCACUAAAAGCAUAGCAUCCAUAAAGUCUCUUUCCCCCACAACCUUAUCAUCACUACCUACACCCUUCUUUUCACGAUGCUCUUCUAACCACUUACUCAACAUUAUAUCAAAUUUCUUUGCACAUUUUUUCAUUUCCUUCUCAUGACCUCCUAAAUCCAACCACCUUAAAAAUGGCACAGCAUCUCCCACAGUAAAUGUCCCAAUCAAACGCAUAAAAUCCCUUAUAUUUUCCAAAAUUUCUGCUGCUUCUUCCUUAUUUCUCUCUUCCACUUCACCAAAACAUCUCUUCCCAACAACCAUUCUUAGUACCAUAUUUAAUGUCAAUUGUUGAAACCAUUUAUUCAACUCGACCGACACAUAGUCGUUAGUACUAGACUUAGUGUCAUUGAGUGGUUCAGAUUGCCCUGACGCUUGACUUUGAUGGGACCAAGUAUUAACGAGUUCUUUAAUCGAAGAUUGAACUUCUGAAACACGAAUGUGGCUCAGAAGUUCAACGCGGUGCUUAGAGAGAAUCUCCAUGGUAACAAUUUUCCUUAACUGACGCCAAUAUGCUCCGUACGGUGCCCAACCAAUGAAAGCUUGAUUAUACGACAUGAUUUCAGCUGCAACAGGUUUAGGGCGUGAUGAAACAACUAUGUCAUUUUUGGUGAAACAUUCUUUGGCUAAUUCCCAAUUGUUUAGUACCAAAGCAUGUGUAGCACCUAGCUUGAUUGUGAAUAUGGGUCCAUAUCUGUCAGCUAAGGAAGCUAGGGUUUUGUGGGGUGUUUGUGUAUUUCUCAUUAGUGGAAGAUGGCCUAGUAUUGGCCAUGACCCUGGAAUUGUAGGAGGGUUUUUGGUAUGAGAAACUUUGGAUAAACGAAAUAGAAAGAAAAAUAGGGAAAUUAGAGAAAUUAGUGCUAUGGUAGUGAUGUUAAGGUAGUUUAGGACUAACUCCAUUUUUUGGUUGAUUAUUGUGGUGCUGAAAGGACCAAUACCAUACUUGCUUUUAUAAGGAUUUGUGUGAGUCAUGCAUUAUUUGCCAUUUUUGUUGAAAGAAGAGUCAAACGGUGGCUUACUGUAGGAAGAAGAGCCAAAACAUGUCAGAGUAUUAUUGGAUUCUUUCUCCUUCAAUAAUAGGCAAUGAAGUUACUUGAUGUGCAAGGAUAAUAUACUUAACAAAUAUUUGAAAGAUACUCUUUAAACAUUUUAAAUUAAGGAAUUAUUCUUUAU